RNAcentral lists this transfer RNA (70 nucleotides) under Dipodomys ordii (Ord's kangaroo rat). It matches the Rfam family "tRNA". From Rfam's summary of the family: Transfer RNA (tRNA) molecules are approximately 80 nucleotides in length. Their secondary structure includes four short double-helical elements and three loops (D, anti-codon, and T loops). The record is from Rfam by way of RNAcentral. Lineage: Eukaryota; Metazoa; Chordata; Mammalia; Rodentia; Heteromyidae.
GGGAAUAUGGCUUAGUGGUAAAGUGCUUGCCUAGCAUGCAUGAAGCCCUGGGUUCGAUUCCUCAGUACCA